UUGAGUGAUAAACUCAAAAACGUAAUGAAAGUAAAGAUAUUCUUAUGAAUGUUUAUGUAUGAUAAAUGAUGCUUGUCAUUGUUUAGCAAUAUAGUCCUAUUUAAAUCAUUUAUGAUUGAGUAGAGAUAGAGUAUACAUAAUGCGACCCGAAAGAUGGUGAUCUAUGCUUGAACAGGAUAAAGCCGGGGGAAACUCUGGUGGAAGUCCGUAACGGUUCUGACGUGCAAAUCGAUCGUCUGAUUUGAGUAUAGGGGCGAAAGACUAAUCGAACCAUCUAGUAUCUGGUUCCUUCCGA
Molecule: ribosomal RNA, 295 nt
Filed under: Panagrolaimus paetzoldi
Lineage: Eukaryota; Metazoa; Nematoda; Chromadorea; Rhabditida; Panagrolaimidae
Description: partial 28S ribosomal RNA
Rfam family: Eukaryotic large subunit ribosomal RNA
Source: RNAcentral